This 253-nucleotide ribosomal RNA is filed under the name uncultured bacterium. RNAcentral describes it as "partial 16S ribosomal RNA". It matches the Rfam family "Bacterial small subunit ribosomal RNA", at positions 524 to 776 of the family's 1533-position model. The record is from RNAcentral.
UACGGAGGGGACUAGCGUUGUUCGGAAUUACUGGGCGUAAAGCGCACGUAGGCGGAUUUGUAAGUCAGGGGUGAAAUCCCGGGGCUCAACCUCGGAAUUGCCUUUGAUACUGCAAAUCUCGAGUCCGGAAGAGGUGAGUGGAAUUCCUAGUGUAGAGGUGAAAUUCGUAGAUAUUAGGAAGAACACCAGUGGCGAAGGCGGCUCACUGGUCCGGUACUGACGCUGAGGUGCGAAAGCGUGGGGAGCAAACAGG